UUACCAUGUAGUUCGAAUCCUUUAUCAUGAGUCCUGACAUGACGCAGGUCAAGGAUAAUUCAUCAAAUCUGUUCAUUCGUCAUAUGUCAGAUUCAAUCAACUCGAGUCCAUGUAAAAUUUUAUGAAAACUUUUUUUCAUCAUUUACCUAUCAUGGUCAUGAAUUUUAGGACUUAGUCUCAUGAACUGCAUAGAAUCUCUCCCUCUCUACCAGAGUCGACAGAUCCUAUCUUGAUGCAUACUUUAUUCUUACAAUAGACUUACUAUAGCUAACAUACAUUACAAGAUUCUGAAUGGCUAAGUAAUCAAGUAAUCGUACAGUCAAACUACACCAACUCCACUAUGAAUAGUCGAGGUACUGCAGGUUAAAGAACUACCUAUAUAACUGCAACUUUGAGUAAGUCACUGAUGAGUGGGUAGCUAUCCUAGUGACUUCUCACAUUGAUCAUGCUCAGUAUCCUUGAUCUCUAUCAAACAUCUGCAUUCUCACUCUAAUAUCUCCACACUGUAAACUCAAGACUUGUCUAC
This 526-nucleotide long non-coding RNA is filed under the name Elaeis guineensis (African oil palm). Its description in RNAcentral is "long non-coding RNA (EGUI_LNC027851)". The record is from RNAcentral. Lineage: Eukaryota; Viridiplantae; Streptophyta; Magnoliopsida; Arecales; Arecaceae.